RNAcentral lists this small RNA (438 nucleotides) under Vigna angularis var. angularis. RNAcentral's name for it is "Non-protein coding transcript". The record is from RNAcentral. Lineage: Eukaryota; Viridiplantae; Streptophyta; Magnoliopsida; Fabales; Fabaceae.
AGUAAAAAAGUGGAUAACUUUGAACGAGCCAUAUAGUUACAGCAACAAGGGUUAUGCAUUAGGGACAAAGGCCCCUGGUCGAUGUUCAUCUUGGUGGAGUCCUAAAUGCAAUGGUGGUGAUUCUGGAACAGAACCCUAUUUGGCUACACAUCACCAACUUCUUGCUCAUGCAGCUGCUGUUAAUGUCUACAAGACUAAGUAUCAGAGAUUUCAGAAUGGUGUAAUAGGCAUAACACUGUAUUCUAUUUGGUACGAGCCACUCUCAGAUAGCAAGCUAGAUCGAAAGGCUGCUGAACGAGCUAUGGACUUUUUGUUUGGAUGGUUUAUGGAUCCACUUACAAGAGGAGAUUAUCCAGAAAGCAUGCGUUCCUUGGUGAAAUCACGAUUACCAAAGUUUACAAAGGAACAAUCCAAAUUGCUUAUUAAUUCAUUUGAUUU